GAUGAAGAACGUAGCGAAAUGCGAAAAGUAAUGUGAAUUGCAGAAUUCAGUGAAUCAUCGAAUCUUUGAACGCACAUUGCGCCCGCCAGUAUUCUGGCGGGCAUGCCUGUCUGAGCGUCAUUUCAACCCUCACGCCCCUAGGGCGUGGUGUUGGGGAUCGGCCAAGGCCCGCAAGGGACGGCCGGCCCCUAAAUCUAGUGGCGGACCCAUCGUGGCCUCCCCUGCGAAGUAGUAAUAUAUUCCGCAUCGGAUAGCGAUGAGCCCCUGCCGUUAAACCCCCAACUCUUUCAAGGUUGACCUCAGAUCAGGUAGGAAUACCCGCUGAACUUAAGCAUAUCAAUAGCGAGGA
This 349-nucleotide unclassified non-coding RNA is filed under the name soil metagenome. Its description in RNAcentral is "partial contains 5.8S ribosomal RNA, internal transcribed spacer 2, and large subunit ribosomal RNA". The stretch from base 1 to 120 matches the Rfam family "5.8S ribosomal RNA", at positions 35 to 154 of the family's 154-position model. The record is from RNAcentral.